This 379-nucleotide long non-coding RNA is filed under the name Ananas comosus (pineapple). RNAcentral's name for it is "long non-coding RNA (ACOM_LNC008848)". The record is from RNAcentral. Lineage: Eukaryota; Viridiplantae; Streptophyta; Magnoliopsida; Poales; Bromeliaceae.
UGUUUGGGGCAAGCUUUCAGUUAAAAAAAAAAAGAUAUAUUUUUUACUGUUUUAAUUAUAAAAGUUUUUAUAAAAGAGCCCCAAAGCAUAACAGAUUAAGAUGUUAUCUGAGAGCAACCACAAAUCAACCAUAGGUUUAGGUCGACCCAUAGGUUGACCUAAAACAUCUAGGCAUAUUGAGAGUGCAGGGUUAGGUUGGGAUUGAGCCCCUAGGACAUGACAGACCAGUAGUCGAACCACGUAAAUAUUUGUGUGUUUUAUUUUCGUCUCUUAUUUUGAUUCUCUUUUAGUUUUCGUAUCAAGCAAAGUAAAUUUUUUCAGCUUUUGUCAUAACAAACUAAUAUUAAAGCAAAUAUAGUAUCAGAGUAACUCCUUUUGU